RNAcentral lists this small nucleolar RNA (98 nucleotides) under Arabidopsis thaliana (thale cress). RNAcentral's name for it is "ATSL174370". The record is from RNAcentral. Lineage: Eukaryota; Viridiplantae; Streptophyta; Magnoliopsida; Brassicales; Brassicaceae.
AGAUCGGAUAUUGCCUGAGGCUUCUACCGUCUUAUGAAGUUGCUGUGACAAAGUGAAUUUUUCUUCCUUUGCUAUAUUUGUUUUUUGGUUUCGGUUGC